CAUAGCUAACCUUUAAGCCUGUUUCCAAAGAUACCCUGGGCUAUCACCCCGAGCAGGAUUCUGGGACCACCUCAAGGCCGCGUGGGCUGGAGGUCCGCUGUCAUGUUCCCCAGUUCCUUCUUAUGUCAUCGUUCUCCCGUCCUGUCUCACCAACCGGGGUUAGCCAACUGAGUAGCCUGCCUUUUCCCUAUCACAGAUCUUCCUUUCUGGUCUGCAAGGUGGCACCAUGGGUCCUCCUGGAGGGCUGCCCUGGCUUACGUAGAAUGGGGUUUCCACCUCAGUGGUCCUGUGGGACACUGGACAUCCUGAGGCUCAGGGAGGAGAGGAGGGCUGUUGUCUGGUUUUUGGAGAGGGGGAC
RNAcentral lists this long non-coding RNA (358 nucleotides) under Androctonus crassicauda. Lineage: Eukaryota; Metazoa; Arthropoda; Arachnida; Scorpiones; Buthidae. The record is from RNAcentral.